GACGAAAGUCUGAUGCAGCAACGCCGCGUGGGGGAUGAAGCUUCUCGGAGUGUAAACCCCUUUCGACCCGGAAGAAUGCCCGCAAGGGUUUGACGGUACGGGUAUAAGAAGCCCCGGCUAACUACGUGCCAGCAGCCGCGGUAAUACGUAGGGGGCCAGCGUUGCUCGGAAUUACUGGGCGUAAAGGGUCCGUAGGCGGUGUGGCAAGUCGGGAGUGAAAUCUCUGGGCUUAACCCAGAGGCUGCUUCCGAAACUGCCGUGCUAGAGUGUGAGAGAGGCGAGUGGAAUUACGGGUGUAGCGGUGAAAUGCGUAGAUAUCCGUAGGAACAUCCGAGGCGAAGGCGGCUCGCUGGAUCACAACUGACGCUGAGGGACGAAAGCUAGGGGAGCAAACAGGAUUAGAUACCCUGGUAGUCCUAGCCCUAAACCAUCAGGACUUGGGGUUUGCCCUGUACGGGGCAAGUCCCGUAGCUAACGCGUUAAGUCCUGCGCCUGGGGAGUAC
Molecule: ribosomal RNA, 503 nt
Filed under: uncultured bacterium
Lineage: Bacteria
Description: bacterial SSU rRNA
Rfam family: Bacterial small subunit ribosomal RNA
Source: RNAcentral